AGAAAUCGAUAAGCAAUCCACCUGGGGAGUACGUUCGCAAGAAUGAAACUCAAAGGAAUUGACGGGGGCCCGCACAAGCGGAGGAACAUGUGGUUUAAUUCGAAGAUACGCGAGGAACCUUACCCGGGCUUGAAAGUUAUUGACGAUUCUGGAAACAGGAUUUCCCUUCGGGGCAAGAAACUAGGUGCUGCAUGGUUGUCGUCAGCUCGUGCCGUGAGGUGUCGGGUUAAGUCCCAUAACGAGCGCAACCCUUGCUGUUAGUUGCCAUCAGGUUAAGCUGGGCACUCUAACGGGACUGCCUCUGUAAGGAGGAGGAAGGUGAGGAUGACGUCAAAUCAGCACGGCCCUUACGUCCGGGGCGACACACGUGUUACAAUGGUAGGUACAGAGGGCAGCCACCCAGUGAUGGGGAGCAAAUCUCGAAAGCCUAUCUCAGUUCGGAUUGGAGGCUGAAACUCGCCUCCAUGAAGUUGGAUUCGCUAGUAAUCGCGCA
Molecule: ribosomal RNA, 493 nt
Filed under: uncultured bacterium
Lineage: Bacteria
Description: bacterial SSU rRNA
Rfam family: Bacterial small subunit ribosomal RNA
Source: RNAcentral